UUCAUGGAAUCACAGAAAUCCUAGAAACACUUAGAUUGGAAGGGACUUUCAAGUUCACCCAGUUCAGACCACUUUCCCCAGACAGAAGUGGCACCCACUUCCCCAGGCUGCUCAGGGCUCCAUCCAGCCUGGCCUUGAACUCUUCCAGAGAUGGGGCAUCCUCAGCCUCUCUGGGCAAAGGGAGAAGCUGUAACUCACCUCACAGCACACUGUGGGAAUGGGUGGAGGUGGUUUUUGAAAGCUCAGUCCAGGCUGGAAUGGUGUGAGCAGGGUUUGCUCCAGCAGAUCGUGUACAUGGCUGGCCCAUUGUGGCCCGAGCCUGGCCAGGCCUUGUCUGCAGGGCAUUCACAAUUUCAGCUCACAGCUCCAGCUCAGGGCAAACACCAUUUCAGUUUAGUUUUCCUGUUCCAGGUCUGAGGAACAAGUGAUAGUAUAGGGAUAAUGUGUUUCUAAAAUCUUGGAAUAUUCAACUGAGUUAGAAAGGAAGGACAGGCUUGGUAGGCCCUGGGAAAAUAUUAAGUGCCAAAUGCCACACUGAGAGAACCUCUCUGACAUCAGUGCUACUGCUGUCGACAUCGAGUACACUUCAUCUCUGCAAGAUAUGUCCUGUGACCAAUUUAUAUUUCAUCUCCUGCUGUACAUGACAUGAAUAUACUGCCAUGUAUUCAAGAGAAUUAAAGCAGAGCAAGUCAAAUUGGAAAGAGGCCUUUGGAAUACAGUUGCGUUCACCAUAUGUCCCUUCUCAGAACACAGACCCCACCUGAGGAUAAGGCUGGCACAGCAACAUGGAUAAAUGGGAGACCUGAAUUGGCUGUCUCCCUUCAGGUGGCUGAAAACAAUGGAAACUUGAAACAAUGUCUUCCAUCUUGCAGGUUGCCUGCAUUUUUUUAAUGGAGACUUGAAUGUAUUAAAUUUGCGUGAAAUAAUCCAUCAGGAUCCCGCCCUGCCUGCCACCAGGUCAUUAAAACUACUUUUCCUCUAAAGGAAAAACUCAGCCUACAGCAAUCCUGCCUUUCAUUUCUGAUGGUUGCACAUAACAAUGGACCAAGAUCAUUCUAUCUAGCAAAUCCCAGAUUUGCUACUUCAGCCUGAAAAAAGACAGUUAAAAUCCUGAGGAUCACAAGGGUGAUUGCAGCCAAGUGACAUAGAACUCCGAAGCAGACUAACAGGGAAAACUGAGCUGAAGAGGGCUGUUUUCCAUUUUCCCUAAAGACAGAAAUGGGAGAUAUGUGGGACAGGAAAAGAUGGAAAAGAAACGCAGAGAGGAGUUUCACAGAAACACCAUUGCUCAUGUGAACUGUGGCAUAAAGUGAAGGAACCAGAUUUUGUUUUGCCAUAUUUUACUUCAUGGAGGAGCAGGACACCCUAGAAAGUGUGGCCUUGGAGGAAAGAGUACCUGGAUUCACUGCAAGACAAUACCUGGGGCAGUGCAAUGAGAAGGAAAAAGAAUUAGAAAGUUCUGCUAAGGACCCAGAGUGGCUCUGGCUCCUGCUGUUGUUCACCUCCAGGAACAGCACCUGCAUGCUCUGCUUGAUGAUUCAAGAAGCAGUAUUUGCUAUGUUCCCAUUUCACAGGUGGGUUUUGGAAGAGUUGUGGGGAGAAAAAAUUGAGUUUAGGAGGCUAUGUUUUGGGAAAAAAAAAAGAAUUUAUCAAUAAAUUGACACAUUCCUCAAAAUGUUCCUAAUGCCUGCCUCUGCUUCUCACUUCCCCAAAAAGCUUGAUUUAUUUAUUAUAACUAAGACAAAACUGACAAAUUCUGGUGUGUUUUCCCAUGUAUGCUCAACUCACCAUCCUUAGCCCUCUUUCUGUGCUUCUCCACAGUCUCUAGUUACUGACCUAAA
This is a long non-coding RNA of Passer domesticus (house sparrow), 1841 nucleotides long. RefSeq lists it as uncharacterized. Lineage: Eukaryota; Metazoa; Chordata; Aves; Passeriformes; Passeridae. The transcript has 6 exons. The record is from RefSeq and is a predicted model, not a curated record.